This is a long non-coding RNA of Physeter macrocephalus (sperm whale), 2359 nucleotides long. RefSeq lists it as uncharacterized. The transcript has 2 exons. The record is from RefSeq and is a predicted model, not a curated record. NCBI's taxonomy places the organism in Eukaryota, Metazoa, Chordata, Mammalia, Artiodactyla, Physeteridae.
UGGCAAUUUGGGAGAUUCGGAUGGUAUUGAUGAUAUUUUUUCUUAAUUUGAAAAAACUGAGAAACAUUUGAAAACUGCCUUCCCUUUUUAAAAUUUCUCAGGGAGUUAAAGGGAAAAUCUUGAAAGGCUAGGGCAGAGAACGUGCCCUUAUAGGUUUUAUGUUAAUUCCAGGGAAGGAGUCUUUUGUGCUUAAGAAAUCACAUAGAUAUUCUCUGUAGUUGUUUUUCUUAGUUUUAAAAAUUAUGCCUGGAAAGCCACAGAGUUUAAGUCCUGCUAGUCUGUAAUUGACCAGAAUGUAUGCAUUCAGAGUUAACAGAAGCUUGCAACUCGUUUUCUAUGUUUUUCCUUUUGGCUUUCAUUUCUUUGGGUUGCUGUUAUAUAAGCAGCUUUUUAUGUUUAGUUAGAGUAUACAGAAGCUCAGGGUGAUCUCAGUACCCAUUUGGUUUCCAGAGGGUCUGUUUACAGCGAGGCAAGUCCUUCAAACCUCCUGCCACUUUGUGCAUGUUUUACAAGGUAGCGGAGAGAGUGAAUGAUUCCAAAAGUUGAUUUCAUAUUUCUUGUAGGCAGACUUAAAUCAUAGGUCGGGCUGGGGGCUCUUCUGGAAGCUCCUAAAUAUCUUAGACUACCAGUUCUAUGAGUUGGACGUACAUUGAAUUUGGGGAUGGGGUGGGGCACGCUUUGGGAUUCUAACACACAACCCAGUUUGACAACCACUGUCUUAAGCUAUUAUUAUGUGUAUGGGCUCUGGUGAGAGGCACGAGUUCUUGUCUUCAGCUUGAGACAGGAAAGCAUAUUUCUCUCCAGGCUCUGGAGUCCAAACUUGCUUCCUGCCGGAACUUCGUGUAUGAUCAGUCCCCAAACCGACCCAGUGGCCCAGCCUCAGGGUGGGGGAGCAAGAACAGAGACGGAGGUGACAGACGGCCAGGCAGCACCAGCAUGCCUCUGGGUGACAAAGGGAGAGAAAAUUGAGACCCAGUGAGACACUGCUCCCGACCUUGAUAUUCACUCUUAUAACUUUGUGGGCCCCCGUGCUAGCCAGUCUAUAACAGCUGUAAUGUCCACCUAAUUUGGUUUGCUCUGUCUGAAGGUUGGGAAAACGCCUGGAAUUUGGGAAGCCGCCUUCAAAUAUUUCCUCACCAUCGCUGCCGUCAGCCCAGGGUGUAGUCAAGAUGUUGCUUUAGGAAAUCCACAGAAGCCAAGGCCCCGGUGUCUGUGCAGGAGUCAUUUUACCCUCCUUCCCUCUUUAAACUAGGUUUUUGGUUUUUUUAAGUUAGUUUGAGAAAUACGAGCAAGCAGUUGCACUAGCCAGUGACAGUGGGGGGCGGGGAUCGCCUGUGGCCCCGGGUGGUCAUCCCCAGGAAAUGCUGUCUCAUAACCCCCGGCCUCCUUGUUGGGGUGUUGCCAAUGGACAGGGACAAAGCGGACCCUCUGGAAAUGGUGACGUGGGUGCUGAGGCUGCUCCAUCAUUUUCAGCAGACCUGAGUCCUGAUUGGUCUUGAGAGGUGUUUUUCAUGACCGGGGACACCUAUAAAGUGGGGUCUGAGCCCAUCUCAGGCUCACUCCGGCCCCCACUUUGCUGGAGCUUCUUCCAGAACAAAAUCUCCAGUGCUCUUUGGCACAGUAGGGAUCAGUGCACUGAAAUCACAUCUAGGGGUGAAGAACAGAACAGGCAUGAACCUUUUAUUUAAACUGUGGUGUGGUGUACCUCUGAGACUUUUUAAUCUGCCUCUCACUGAGGUUUUUAGAGGCAUGCUUGAGUUUCAGAGUACGUUUUGUGGGACCAGGUCAGUGGAAACUCUGUGUCCUCUUUAGACCAAUCCUGGCUGUAAGUUGUCCUGAGCCCCUCUGUCCUGGCCUGGGGGUGACCUCUGCUUCAGGACCCUUAGGGUCUCUGGGGUGUGAUGGCCUUGGUAAUGCAGCCCCUAAGAACAGGACUUCAUUCAAAGCCUUGAUGAAAUAAUUGGGGUGGCCUUCGGAUAAGAUUAAACCACCAGGACUGUCGGUGGGAGGUUCCUUAUUAAAGAAGAAACGAACCCAGGAUUUCCACACAGAUGGUGUGCAGCUCAUCCCUGCUGGUUGUGAACGGCAGUCUCACACUUUGGACGCAAGUAAAAAGAACACAUGAAUUCCAGCGCAUGCGUGCAGCUUAACGGCCUUCUGUUACAUAGUUAUUUUUCCAAAAGAACAGCAAAAAUAUCCUUGAGUUGAAAACAGAACUUUUCAAAUGCUACUGAAAUUCAGCAGAGAAUUAAACUUGAGUGCCCACUUCGUUGCCCUGGCAACAUUCUAACCUAUAUCGGAAAAAGAUGUAUUUUUAUUUUUUUAAAAGAACAAUAAAAUCAAGAGAAACUGGUUUUUA